This is a long non-coding RNA of Sebastes umbrosus (honeycomb rockfish), 374 nucleotides long. RefSeq lists it as uncharacterized. The transcript has 2 exons. Lineage: Eukaryota; Metazoa; Chordata; Actinopteri; Perciformes; Sebastidae. The record is from RefSeq and is a predicted model, not a curated record.
GGUAAGCAGACAUGACGGAUGGGAACUGUCGACCUUUUUACUUUGUAUUUUUUGGGAGUAUCUGUACGUAACUUGAGUUUUUAUAUUUCAGUCAACUUUCCCUUUUACUCCACUACAUUUCCUAAAUAAAAUGUAUACUUUUACUCUGUUACAUUUCCCCUAAGCAUCUUCGUUACUCAUUACUAUUGGAAGCAAGCAGGUUUGGCGAAUUAGCUGCAUGUCAGAUCAUGCUACAUGCUACCUGCAACUACUAGGGAAGGAAAAACUGGAUUGUGUUCUUUAAAUCCUUUAAGUUGUGAAGACCUUGUUUUUCUUCAAGUGUAAUGUAGCCUCCAUUUUUAAGUUGGUGUACAUUUUAAGAGGAAUAAACUUAA